RNAcentral lists this ribosomal RNA (406 nucleotides) under uncultured bacterium. Its description in RNAcentral is "partial 16S ribosomal RNA". It matches the Rfam family "Bacterial small subunit ribosomal RNA", at positions 29 to 526 of the family's 1533-position model. The record is from RNAcentral.
AUUGAACGCUGGCGGCAGGCCUAACACAUGCAAGUCGAACGAGUGGCGGACGGGUGAGUAAUGUCUGGGAAACUGCCCGAUGGAGGGGGAUAACUACUGGAAACGGUAGCUAAUACCGCAUACCAUCGGAUGUGCCCAGAUGGGAUUAGCUAGUAGGUGGGGUAACGGCUCACCUAGGCGACGAUCCCUAGCUGGUCUGAGAGGAUGACCAGGCAGAAGGGAACUGAGAAACGGGCCAGAUGCCUAGGUGAGGCAGCAGUGGGGAAGAUUGCACAAUGGGCGCAAGCCUGAGGAAGCCAUGCCGAGUGUAGGAAGAAGGCCGUCGGGUUGGAAAGUACUUUCAGCGAGGAGGCGUUACUCGCAGAAGAAGCACCGGCUAACUCCGGGCCAGCAGCCGCGGUAAUUC